This 282-nucleotide ribosomal RNA is filed under the name Bacillus cereus. RNAcentral describes it as "partial 16S ribosomal RNA". It matches the Rfam family "Bacterial small subunit ribosomal RNA", at positions 1 to 270 of the family's 1533-position model. Lineage: Bacteria; Bacillati; Bacillota; Bacilli; Caryophanales; Bacillaceae. The record is from RNAcentral.
UUUAUUGGAGAGUUUGAUCCUGGCUCAGGAUGAACGCUGGCGGCGUGCCUAAUACAUGCAAGUCGAGCGAAUGGAUUAAGAGCUUGCUCUUAUGAAGUUAGCGGCGGACGGAUGAGUAACACGUGGGUAACCUGCCCAUAAGACUGGGAUAACUCCGGGAAACCGGGGCUAAUACCGGAUAACAUUUUGAACCACAUGGUUCUAAAUUGAAAGGCGGCUUCGGCUGUCACUUAUGGAUGGACCCGCGUCGCAUUAGCUAGUUGGUGAGGUAACGGCUCACCA